Molecule: ribosomal RNA, 468 nt
Filed under: uncultured bacterium
Lineage: Bacteria
Description: partial 16S ribosomal RNA
Rfam family: Bacterial small subunit ribosomal RNA
Source: RNAcentral
GACGAACGCUGGCGGCGUGCUUAACACAUGCAAGUCGAACGGAAAGGCCCUGCUUUUGUGGGGUGCUCGAGUGGCGAACGGGUGAGUAACACGUGAGUAACCUGCCCUUGACUUUGGGAUAACUUCAGGAAACUGGGGCUAAUACCGGAUAGGAGCUCCUGCUGCAUGGUGGGGGUUGGAAAGUUUCGGCGGUUGGGGAUGGACUCGCGGCUUAUCAGCUUGUUGGUGGGGUAGUGGCUUACCAAGGCUUUGACGGGUAGCCGGCCUGAGAGGGUGACCGGCAAAAUUGGGACUGGGCUACGGCCCAGACUCCUACGGGAGGCAGCAGUGGGGAAUAUUGCACAAGGGGCGGAAGCCUGAUGCAGCAACGCCGCGUGCGGGAUGACGGCAUUCGGGUUGUAAACCGCUUUCGCCUGUGACGAAGCGUGAGUGACGGUAAUGGGUAAAGAAGCACCGGCUAACUACGUG